UGUCUCUCUGGACUUUUCUAAUUCUAAGUAUUUCUUAUGUUUCUACAAAUCUAACAAGAGUGAGUCUAGCUUAUAGGAUCAUAUGACUACCAGGGAAUAUUGCAUAGUUAACACUACAGCCAAACCCUUCUUAUUUCUUCUGCUAAGUGUUUGAUGGAAUUAUUUAUACACUGGGGUUUCUAGAUUCUGACUGAGUAGCCAAUGCCAGAAGAAAAGAUGAGAGUUGUGGCCUUUAAGCUGUUGAAAAGCUGUAUUUCUCAUAAUCUAAGUGGCUCUGACACUAUGCACCAGAGCCUGACAAUUAAAUUUCCCUCUAAAUUUCUACCAGGGGACAUGUCAUAUUGUGAGCUGAACCACUCUGAUGUGAAGGCAUCUCUUCUCUCCCAUCAGCACCUAAGAAGCUGUCAGUGCCAGUUUCCUUGUUAGUAACCAGUCUGCUUGCUGUGACAGUACCCCACAGUUUAUAUCAAAUGAAAAGGCUGCUCUCUGGAAACACAGGAGCGACAGCUGAGGAACGGAGUAGGGCUGGGGAGGUUUGCAGAAGGCCCCAGGGCCGGAAUUAACUGUGCUGCUCACUUCACCAGAACAAGAGAAGCGAGCACUGCUCAGACCAAAAGGCAACACUCUGCUCCGUGAUGUAUGCAUGGUGCUGAGAGCGCAUUUCCAGGGCUGCCCCAAGAAAGCCUGGGUUUACGACUGCAGUUUCCCUGCUUUGCAUCAGUACAAGCAAGGCAGUGUCCUCCAAAGUAGAUGCUGUGAUGUUAGCAAACUAACCAACGAACCCCACUCCUCUGCCCCAUGCCCGCCAUGGCACGGGAAACGCAUCAUACUCCGUAUGCAUCCUCACCUGCACCUCUGUUGCAGGGCCUGCGAGGUUUGGUCCUCACCCCAAGCACUCUAAGGCCCUUGAGCAAAAGGGUCUCAAGGACACUUGCUAAGCAUGAUUUGUCACAGAAAGACCAGGGAUCACAAGACAGAUGGCUGUUAGCCUCCUUGGAAGAAAUAAAACAAGGGCAUCAACAUGAGAAAAUUUUCCACAGAAUUCCAUGUGAUUAUCUUGGGGGAUAGGGAGAUGAGAAAUGGAAGGUGGAACAAAACCUCUGGAAUCCUAGAAGAUCACAACCAUAAAGAGCUGGAUCUGCUGCGGGGGAAGCAGGACACACAGCAGACUCAUAGAAUGGCAAAUGCCCAAAACAGCACUCCUGCCUCAGAAUCAACCCUUGGGACAUUCGGAUCUGACUAGAAGGUACAUGAGAGUCUCACAGGCAUGGAAAGCCAUGACACGGUGGCAAAAAACAAUCUAAAUGAAGGAUCCUGGUGAACAACACCUCAGCAGAAGGAUCAGGCCAUCAAGGAGAGAGGCACCUUUCUCUGAAGGGAGGAAGGAACCUCCACUGUGAUACGGCCUUGACUAAACAAAUUCAGAGUUGGUGAACUCAAGGGGCUUCCAUAGCCUAGACAGCUCAUAGCAAGAGUCUCAGGUGAUUGCUGACAUCAUAAAUAAGAGUGCCAAUUGUUAAAUCAACAACAGGAGUCACUGGGUUCAUGUUCCCCAUGCAGGAUCUCUGUCCUUAAUAUGUUUAACUAUGAAACUCAAAAACAACACUACUAGUCGAACAAUACCCUAUACCUGGUUCGGUUGUGUGAGUGCAACCUGUUGAAAUCCCUGCUUAGUAUAUACUAAGUUGAUCUUCAGUAUAUGAAGGUUAUUUCUGAGAUUCAUCCGAAGCAUUGCGUGGAGCUACAGGCCUUGCUCUGCACUCUCCAGUGCCCACCAUCAACACCACAGAUGCCCGUGCUGCUGGGGCUGGGCACCUCGGCAGCUUCCAGCUGCAGGCUGUUUCAGAAGGUGCUACUCUAAACAUCCUGAUGCACAUUUUUGAAUGGAAGCGGCUCCUGGGAUGAGCACUCCCUUUCCUCCCCCGGUGGCCUGUGAUCUCCUUCGAGCUCGGCCUCAGCCCAGCUGUGCCUCAUUAAAAGCAUUUCACUGUCGACUGGUGAAUGAGAAGGAACCCAGUGCCAGCGCAAGAGCCUCCUUUCAUUCAACCCCAAAGUCCUAAAAAGGCAAAACCUUGUGAGCCAAAAUAAAGCUUUUUUCUUUAGUAUUAUUUUUGUUCUGUAAAAAGGAGAGAGAGAAAAUCUCUUUCCUGAUAACAAUACCUGACAGUGCUUUAGCUUUUCCGAGCCCUCAUCCCAUAUUCUCUCCUUAGAGCACUCUCAGAUUAGCAAUUGUCACAGCCAAGUGGUUGUAAUGAUGUGCUUAGGC
Molecule: non-coding RNA, 2266 nt
Organism: Oryctolagus cuniculus (rabbit)
Lineage: Eukaryota; Metazoa; Chordata; Mammalia; Lagomorpha; Leporidae
Source: RefSeq, a predicted model, not a curated record